This 403-nucleotide ribosomal RNA is filed under the name uncultured bacterium. RNAcentral's name for it is "partial 16S ribosomal RNA". It matches the Rfam family "Bacterial small subunit ribosomal RNA", at positions 29 to 526 of the family's 1533-position model. The record is from RNAcentral.
AUUGAACGCUGGCGGCAGGCCUAACACAUGCAAGUCGAGCGAGCGGCGGACGGGUGAGUAAUGUAUGGGGACUGCCCGAUAGAGGGGGCUAACUACUGGAAACGGUGGCUAAUACCGCAUACUAUCGGAUAACCCAUAUGGGAUUAGCUAGUAGGUGGGGUAAAGGCUCACAUAGGCGACGAUCUCUAGCUGGUCUGAGAGGAUGAUCGGCCAGACUGGGACUGAGACACGGCCCAGACUCCUACGGAGGCAGCAGUGGGGAAUAUUGGACAAUGGGCGCAAGCCUGAGGCAGCAAGGCCGCGUGUAUGAAGAAGGCCUUAGGGUUGUAAAGUACUGUCGGCGGGGAGGCGUUACCCGCAGAAGAAGCACCGGCUAACUCCGUGCCAGCAGCCGCGGUAAUAC